Molecule: ribosomal RNA, 120 nt
Organism: Bison bison bison
Lineage: Eukaryota; Metazoa; Chordata; Mammalia; Artiodactyla; Bovidae
Source: Ensembl
GUCUCAGGCCGGAUCAGCCUGAAGUCGCCCGAUCUGGUCUGAUCUCGGAAGCUAAGCAGGGUCGGGCCUGGUUAGUAUCUUGGAUAGGAGACCACCUGGGAAUCCCGGGUGCUCGAGGCU